RNAcentral lists this ribosomal RNA (406 nucleotides) under uncultured bacterium. RNAcentral describes it as "partial 16S ribosomal RNA". It matches the Rfam family "Bacterial small subunit ribosomal RNA", at positions 30 to 526 of the family's 1533-position model. The record is from RNAcentral.
AUUGAACGCUGGCGGCAGGCCUAACACAUGCAAGUCGAACGAGUGGCAGACGGGUGAGUUAUGUCUGGGACACUGCCUGAAGGAGGGGUAUAACUAGUGGAAAGGGUAGCUAAUACCGCAUACCAUCAGAUGUGCCCAGAGUGGAUUAGCUUGUUGGUGGGGUAACGGCUCACCCAGGCGACGAUCCCUAGCUGGUCUGAGAGGAUGACCAGCCACACUGGAACUGAGACACGGUCCAGACUCCUACGGGAGGCAGCAGUGGGGAAUAUUGCACAAUGGGCGCAAGCCUGAUGCAGCCAUGCCGCGUGUAUGAAGAAGGCCUUCGGGUUGUAAAGUACUUUCAGCGGGGAGGCGUUACCCGCAGAAGAAGCACCGGCUAACUCCGUGCCAGCCGCCGCGGUAAUUC